UCCCACGUGGUCCAGUGGCCAGGACUCCACACUCCCAAUGCAGAGGGCCAGGGUUCAAUCCUUGGUGGGGGAA
RNAcentral lists this transfer RNA (73 nucleotides) under Ovis aries (sheep). It matches the Rfam family "tRNA". Rfam says of the family: Transfer RNA (tRNA) molecules are approximately 80 nucleotides in length. The record is from Rfam by way of RNAcentral. Lineage: Eukaryota; Metazoa; Chordata; Mammalia; Artiodactyla; Bovidae.